AUUGAACGCUGGCGGCAGGCUUAACACAUGCAAGUCGAGCGGAGUGAUGGUGCUUGCACUAUCACUUAGCGGCGGACGGGUGAGUAAUGCUUAGGAAUCUGCCUAUUAGUGGGGGACAACAUCUCGAAAGGGAUGCUAAUACCGCAUACGUCCUACGGGAGAAAGCAGGGGAUCACUUGCGACCUUGCGCUAAUAGAUGAGCCUAAGUCGGAUUAGCUAGUCGGUGGGGUAAAGGCCUACCAAGGCGACGAUCUGUAGCGGGUCUGAGAGGAUGAUCCGCCACACUGGGACUGAGACACGGCCCAGACUCCUACGGGAGGUAGCAGUGGGGAAUAUUGGACAAUGGGGGGAACCCUGAUCCAGCCAUGCCGCGUGUGUGAAGAAGGCCUUAUGGUUGUAAAGCACUUUAAGCGAGGAGGAGGCUCUUUUGGUUAAUACCCAAGAUGAGUGGACGUUACUCGCAGAAUAAGCACCGGCUAACUCUGUGCCAGCAGCCGCGGUAA
Molecule: ribosomal RNA, 503 nt
Filed under: uncultured bacterium
Lineage: Bacteria
Description: partial 16S ribosomal RNA
Rfam family: Bacterial small subunit ribosomal RNA
Source: RNAcentral